GACGAACGCUGGCGGCGUGCUUAACACAUGCAAGUCGAGCGAUGAAGUUCCUUCGGGAACGGAUUAGCGGCGGACGGGUGAGUAACACGUGGGUAACCUGCCUCAUAGAGGGGAAUAGCCUUUCGAAAGGAAGAUUAAUACCGCAUAAGAUUGUAGUCUCGCAUGAUACAGCAAUUAAAGGAGUAAUGCGCUAUGAGAUGGACCCGCGUCGCAUUAGCUAGUUGGUGAGGUAACGGCUCACCAAGGCGACGAUGCGUAGCCGACCUGAGAGGGUGAUCGGCCACAUUGGGACUAAGACACGGCCCAGACUCCUACGGGAGGCAGCAGUGGGGAAUAUUGCACAAUGGGGGAAACCCUGAUGCAGCAACGCCGCGUGAGUGAUGACGGUCUUCGGAUUGUAAAGCUCUGUCUUCAGGGACGAUAAUGACGGUACCUGAGGAGGAAGCCACGGCUAACUACGUGCCAGCAGCCGCAGUAA
RNAcentral lists this ribosomal RNA (478 nucleotides) under uncultured bacterium. RNAcentral's name for it is "partial 16S ribosomal RNA". It matches the Rfam family "Bacterial small subunit ribosomal RNA", at positions 28 to 523 of the family's 1533-position model. The record is from RNAcentral.